AUGUGGACACCUCCUAGCGGUCUGGUUGUUAGGAGUGUUUAUCAGACCAUGUGGACACCUCCUAGUGGUGGGGUUGUUAGGAGUGUUUAUCAGACCAUGUGGACACCUCCUAGUGGUCUGGUUGUUAGGAGUGUUUAUCAGACCAUGUGGACACCUCCUAGUGGUGGGGUUGUUAGGAGUGUUUAUCAGACCAUGUGGACACCUCCUAGUGGUCUGGUUGUUAGGAGUGUUUAUCAGACCAUGUGGACACCUCCUAGUGGUGGGGUUGUUAGGAGUGUUUAUCAGACCAUGUGGACACCUCCUAGUGGUGGGGUUGUUAGGAGAGUUUAUCAGACCAUGUGGACACCUUCUAGUGGUCUGGUUGUUAGGAGAGUUUAUCAGACCAUGUGGACACCUCCUAGUGGUGGGGUUGUUAGGAGUGUUUAUCAGACCAUGUGGACACCUCCUAGUGGUCUGGUUGUUAUGAGUGUUAAUCAGACCAUGUGGACACCUCCUAGUGGUGGGGUUGUUAGGAGUGUUUAUCAGACCACGUGGACAUCUCCUAGUGGUCUGGUUGUUAGGAGUGUUUAUCAGACCAUGUGGACACCUCCUAGUGGUCUGGUUGUUAGGAGUGUUUAUCAGACCAUGUGGACACCUCCUAGUGGUCUGGUUGUUAGGAGUGUUUAUCAGACCAUGUGGACACCUCCUAGUGGUGGGGUUGUUAGGAGUGUUUAUCAGACCAUGUGGACACCUCCUAGUGGUGGGUGGUUAGGAGUGUUUAUCAGACCAUGUGGACACCUCCUAGUGGUGGGGUUGUUAGGAGUGUUUAUCAGACCAUGUGGACAUCUCCUAGUGGUCGGGAUGAUAGGAGUGUUUAUCAGACCAUGUGGACACCUCCUAGUGGUGGGGUUGUUAGGAGUGUUAAUCAGACCAUGUGGACACCUCCUAGUGGUGGGGUUGUUAGGAGUAUUUAUCAGACCAUGUGGACACCUCCUAGUGGUCUGGUUGUUAGGAGUGUUUAUCAGACCAUGUGGACACCUCCUAGUGGUGGGGUUGUUAGGAGUGUUUAUCAGACCAUGUGGACACCUCCUAGUGGUCUGGUAG
RNAcentral lists this long non-coding RNA (1083 nucleotides) under Oncorhynchus mykiss (rainbow trout). Its description in RNAcentral is "lncRNA (ENSOMYG00000055874.1)". Lineage: Eukaryota; Metazoa; Chordata; Actinopteri; Salmoniformes; Salmonidae. The record is from RNAcentral.